GCCAUGCAUGUCUAAGUAUAAGCAAUUAUACAGCGAAACUGCGAAUGGCUCAUUAAAUCAGUUAUCGUUUAUUUGAUAGUACCUUACUACAUGGAUAACCGUGGUAAUUCUAGAGCUAAUACAUGCUGAAAACCCCGACUUCGGAAGGGGUGUAUUUAUUAGAUUAAAAACCAAUGCCCUUCGGGGCUCACUGGUGAUUCAUGAUAACUUCUCGAAUCGCACGGCCUUGCGCCGGCGAUGGUUCAUUCAAAUUUCUGCCCUAUCAACUUUCGACGGCUGGGUCUUGGCCAGCCGUGGUGACAACGGGUAACGGAGGGUUAGGGCUCGACCCCGGAGAAAACGCCUGAGAAACGGCGUUUACAUCCAAGGAAGGCAGCAGGCGCGCAAAUUACCCAAUGCCGACACGGCGAGGUAGUGACGAGAAAUACUGAUACAGGGCUCUUUUGGGUCUUGUAAUUGGAAUGAGUACAAUUUAAAUCUCUUAACGAGGAACAAUUGGAGGGCAAGUCUGGUGAACGUUCCAGUUCCAAUGCUGGUGCCAGAGAUAGCGGUCAAACGCCCACGCUAGUCGAGCAUCCGCCAAAUCAGCGGGAGGAUGCCGGCGAGACAACCUGGAUCGGGGGACGCUAAAGGUGCCUUCGGGCGCUAUGCCAAUCCCGAGCGGAGCCCCCAGCGGGCCCGUGUAGAGCGCGCAAAGGUGUCGGUCCGGCUCUCUCGAGCCGGGCUUAAGGUACGUGCCGAUCCCCCGCGAAAGCGGGGCCGCGUCCAAGAGUGCCCGCUGCACGAAUGGGCGCGGGGUGGGGAGCCUUCAGGGCCCCUCACUCGCUAGAGAAAAAACACAUGGCCAGCAGCCGCGGUAAUUCCAGCUCCAAUAGCGUAUAUUAAAGUUGUUGCAGUUAAAAAGCUCGUAGUUGAACCUUGGGCCUGGCUGGCCGGUCCGCCUCACCGCGUGCACUGGUCCGGCCGGGCCUUUCCCUCUGGGGAGCCCCAUGCCCUUUACUGGG
Molecule: ribosomal RNA, 1004 nt
Filed under: Gaeumannomyces avenae
Lineage: Eukaryota; Fungi; Ascomycota; Sordariomycetes; Magnaporthales; Magnaporthaceae
Description: bacterial SSU rRNA
Rfam family: Eukaryotic small subunit ribosomal RNA
Source: RNAcentral